CCUACGGGAGGCUGCAGUGGGGAAUAUUGGACAAUGGGGGGAACCCUGAUCCAGCGACGCCGCGUGAGUGAAGAAGUAUUUCGGUAUGUAAAGCUCUAUCAGCAGGGAAGAAAAUGACGGUACCUGACUAAGAAGCCCCGGCUAACUACGUGCCAGCAGCCGCGGUAAUACGUAGGGGGCAAGCGUUAUCCGGAUUUACUGGGUGUAAAGGGAGCGUAGACGGCGAUGCAAGCCAGAUGUGAAAGCCCGCGGCUCAACUGCGGUAGUGCAUUUGGAACUGUAUGGCUGGAGUGCAGGAGAGGCAGGCGGAAUUCCUAGUGUAGCGGUGAAAUGCGUAGAUAUUAGGAGGAACACCAGUGGCGAAGGCGGCCUGCUGGACUGUAACUGACGUUGAGGCUCGAAAGCGUGGGGAGCAAACAGGAUUAGAUACCCUAGUAGUC
RNAcentral lists this ribosomal RNA (440 nucleotides) under uncultured bacterium. RNAcentral describes it as "partial 16S ribosomal RNA". It matches the Rfam family "Bacterial small subunit ribosomal RNA", at positions 338 to 795 of the family's 1533-position model. The record is from RNAcentral.